This 814-nucleotide unclassified non-coding RNA is filed under the name Hevea brasiliensis (rubber tree). Lineage: Eukaryota; Viridiplantae; Streptophyta; Magnoliopsida; Malpighiales; Euphorbiaceae. The record is from RNAcentral.
GGAGAACUAACACCGGUACAACCAUCAUUGCCUGUUUUAAGUUAUUGAAGGCUGCUUGACACUCGUUAGUCCAUUGUCACUUGUUUUUCUUUUUCAACAAUUCUGUAAGGGGACAUACCCUUUGAGAGUAGCCCUACACAAACCAACUAUAAUAAUUCACUAAUCCCAAUAAGAAUCUCAAUUCAGUUAUGCUCUUAGGUACUGCCCAUUCCUGCAUUACUUUUACUUUGGCUUAGUCCAUGUGGAUUAUGCCCUGUUCAAUCACAUGGCUUAAGAACUUGAUUCGAGUCUGGGCGAAAGCACAUUUCUCCUUCUUCACAAAGAGUUUGUUCCAUAGUUAUAAGAUUCGCUACAAACCCUCGAGCUCCGCGAUCUGAUUCGCGCAUCCUGAUUCACAAGAUGUUUUCGUAUCAAUUUGCUAGGAUACGUGAACUGAGUCGCCUUGCCAAGAUGACGCACCAUAAAUCCUCAAAAAUUGCAGGGAAAGAUAGUGAAGAUUGAAGAAGAAGAUACACUUAAAAAUAGCAAGAACCAAAAAGAAGGAGAAGGAAAAGAGAAGCCUAGAGGAAGGUGAACAGCUGAAGAAGACGAUGUAAAAACAAAGAAAAAAAAGAAAAGAGAAAAGUCUACAAUUGACAGACCUUUCAAUUGUCUAUUUUAAUUAUUCCACUACAGUUGGCACAUUUUACCUAAAAAUAUAUAGCUGGCGCAUAUUAAAAAAUAACUAUAGCUGUAGUUAUUUAUAGUACCAAAUUAAUGUUUAUAAUGUUAAUAAAUAUAUAUACUCGUUAAAUUUUAUUCUUUUAUCAUCGUG